Long non-coding RNA from Zea mays, 1477 nucleotides. RefSeq lists it as uncharacterized. The record is from RefSeq and is marked validated. The transcript is spliced from 3 exons. Lineage: Eukaryota; Viridiplantae; Streptophyta; Magnoliopsida; Poales; Poaceae.
CAAAUAUCCAGUCCCUGCACCUUUCUUCUUCCUAGCCGCUCUCUCUCCGUGCAGUGCGUCCUCCGUGCCCAGUCCGAGCUCCCCAUGGCGCGCCCAGCUGAAGCUCCCUCUUCCUCCUCGGCGCUGCUCUAUCUCUCUCUGGUGCUCAGCUCCCUCCGCGCGUCCUUGGCUCCAAGCCCCCGCGUGGAGCUCGCCCAGCUGUGACCCUGCCGAGCUCCGCCCCGACUCCACGUCUCCUGGUCGGGCUCUCGUUCUAUGCUUGAUGCCGCUGUUCCCUGGUGCUCCCUGCUCGGUCCCUGCCCAGCGCCUGACUACAGCUCCAGCUCGCGGCGUCCCCUCUGCUUAGCCAGGAUUGUCGUGCCUCUGCUCCCUGAUUUCUCCAGCCCGUGGAGCUUUUGCUAUGCGCUCCCUCCCUGCUCCGGUCUUCUCCAUAGCCGAGCGCCCGACGUUCUCCCUGGUGCUCGCCCAAGUCACCGUUGCAGCUCCAGCUCGGAUUCCCCUUCCCAUGGCGGCGCCCACCUCCCUGUGCUCCCUGUUCCAGCUCGUCGGGGAUGCCCCUUCCUCCAGCCGUGUUCUGCUUCUCUCCCUGCGCCCCUAUUCAUCUCCUGUGCGCCUUGGUUUUGGUCCCAAGCUCCAUGGCCGCCUCGCUGCAGCUCUCUGGUGCUCGGUCGCCAAGUCUCCCUGCUCUAUGCGUUCUUCUUCCUCCCUGGCUCCUGCGCGUUAUGUGCCCAGCUCCCUUUUCCGCAUAUGCGCGCUUAUCUCGCUUUCCUGCGCGCCCAGCGUUCUGCUCCCGCUCGUCCCUGCGCGCCAAGCUCCGUGCGCGGUCCUUCCUUGAGCUCGGUCCUGCGCUUUUCCUUUCUCUGUGUCGUGCUCGCCGUGCCGUGAGUCACUGGCCAGCAGUCCAGCUCGCUUCAGAAUCAAUCUCGACGUCGUUCCACGCGUCAGCAAGAAAUCUCAAGAGUUGGGUGAAGUUGGAGGCCAACAGCAUGGUAUUCACCAUGUGCGCGACAGGAAGCUCGAGCCAGGAUUUAUCCGCAUUCGUACGAGUAUUGGGUCGCGUUUGAUACUGGUACGUUAAUUAAUCGCGCGAUGCAGAAGACGACCCAAGUCGACCCCAAGCGUGGGCUACUCCGCACGGUGAUGCUGAUGGACGAACAUGUCUGAUCAAGUGCCAGGAUGUGAGCUGCUCGCCAAAGGAUCAUCGUCUAACAACACUAACCUAGUGUUACCCAGGUUAUAGUUUUUGUGCUGCUGUUGAUGGUGUUAAGUGCCGGUGGGCUCGGCCUUCUUAUAUAAGUAUACCCCGCCUUUAUCUUCUUAUUGAGGAUGGUCACUUGAGCUAGCAUAUAUUUCAAAACUAUAAAUAAUUUAUAACCGUUCAAAGUUUCUUUCUUUGAAUCAAUGUAGUAAUCACUCUGAUCAUGUACGAAGUAAAAUUUUUGUAACUUGUAAAAUUUGGUAAUAAGAUUUCCGCUGC